CAGCGCCACGAGUGGCAAUCAUGUAUUUGGCCUAAAGCGUCCGUAGCCGGUUUGGCAAAUCUUCUGUGAAAUCGAGCAGCUCAACUGUUCGGCGGGCAGGAGACACUACCAAACUUGGAACCGGGAGGGGUACAGAGUAUUCCAGGGGAAGCGGUAAAAUGCUAUAAUCCCUGGAGGACUACCUAUGGCGAAGGCACUGUACCAGAACGGAUUCGACGGUGAGGGACGAAAGCCAGGGGAGCGAUCCGGAUUAGAUACCCGAGUAGUCC
Molecule: ribosomal RNA, 269 nt
Filed under: uncultured archaeon
Lineage: Archaea
Description: partial 16S ribosomal RNA
Rfam family: Archaeal small subunit ribosomal RNA
Source: RNAcentral